UACGGGGGGGGCAAGCGUUGUUCGGAAUUACUGGGCGUAAAGGGCGCGUAGGCGGCCUGCUAAGUCGGAUGUGAAAUCCCUCGGCUCAACCGAGGAACUGCAUCCGAUACUGGCGGGCUUGAAUCCGGGAGAGGGGUGUGGAAUUCCAGGUGUAGCGGUGAAAUGCGUAGAUAUCUGGAGGAACACCGGUGGCGAAGGCGGCAUCCUGGACCGGCAUUGACGCUGAGGCGCGAAAGCGUGGGGAGCGAACAGG
This 253-nucleotide ribosomal RNA is filed under the name uncultured bacterium. RNAcentral's name for it is "partial 16S ribosomal RNA". It matches the Rfam family "Bacterial small subunit ribosomal RNA", at positions 524 to 776 of the family's 1533-position model. The record is from RNAcentral.